This is a non-coding RNA of Potamilus streckersoni, 77 nucleotides long. The record is from the annotation of a GenBank genome assembly. NCBI's taxonomy places the organism in Eukaryota, Metazoa, Mollusca, Bivalvia, Unionida, Unionidae.
GCCGUGGUAGCUCAGCUGGUAGAGAGUCGGACUCGUAAUCCAAGAGUCGAUGGUUCGAUAUCUACCCGACCAUGAUA